Anopheles gambiae (African malaria mosquito) is the source of this 906-nucleotide long non-coding RNA. RefSeq lists it as uncharacterized. Lineage: Eukaryota; Metazoa; Arthropoda; Insecta; Diptera; Culicidae. The transcript has 2 exons. The record is from RefSeq and is a predicted model, not a curated record.
GUAAAACUGUGAGAGUAAGAUGAUGCUGAUGGUGACUGAUUAUUUUCUUUGUUUCUUUUCCUGCUUUCAUCCACUGAUAGUGUCGAGCAUCGCCGAGGAUGUGAUCGAAUGCGGAAUAUUCGAAACGAGGAGAUUCAUUCCGGAUUUUGUUUGCAAUAAGCGCUGAACUAAUCCUCCAGCUUACAGGACGGCAAAGGUACACGCACAAACGUGCACACAUCAGCCUUCUCGGAGAACGAGAACACGGGAGGGGGAGACCGGCAACGUAUAGAACCUUUACGCUCCCUCGUGCGUUCGUGCGUGCGUGCGCGCGCGCGUCUAUGUGUGUGUAUGUGUGUGCAUGCCUGCGUGCGUGGCUGUGUGUGUUUUUGCCGCUUCGCAUAACGAGAUCCUACGGGAUCACCUUGCGAAAAACACCAAGAGAGGGGGAGGGGUAGGUAUGUGUGUAUGUGUGUGUGUAUGUGUGCUUGCAUGCGUGCAUGGCUGUGUAUGUGUGUGUAUGUGUGCUUGCAUGCGUGCGUGGCUGUGUAUGUGUGUGUAUGUGUGCUUUUGCUGUUUGGCGAUCUCCUACGGAAUCACCUUGCGAAAACACGUGGGGGGGGGGGGGAGGAGUGAGGUGUGUGUGUGCUUGCCUGCGUGCUUUGUGUGUGUGUUUUUGCGUUCACGUUCUACGGGAUCACUUUGCGAAAAACACCAAGGGGAGGAGGAGGAGGUGUGUGUGUGUGUGUGUGUGUGUGUAUGUUUUUUUUUCUUUGACGAUUCGCACUCUCUUGCGGAUCUAGUUGUGUGCGUUAGUUUUUUUUUAGUUUCUUCGAAAAAUACCUGGGGGAGGAUGUGUGUAUGAAAGAAUGUACUUCAGAAAAGAAAGUGAAAAAUAAAAAACGAAUAUGAAAUAUGUUAAACGAA